UUUAACUAAAGAAGAAGCAAAGACCGCGAGGUAGAGCAAAUCUCAAAAAAACAAUCUCAGUUCAGACUGCAGGCUGCAACUCGCCUGCACGAAGUCGGAAUUGCUAGUAAUCGUAGGUCAGCAUACUACGGUGAAUACGUUCCCAGGCCUUGUACACACCGCCCGUCAAACCAUGAGAGUUGGCAACACCCGAAGUCGGUAGUCUAACCGCAAGGAGGACGCCACCGAAGGUGGGGUUGAUGAUUAGGGUUAAGUCGUAACAAGGUACC
Molecule: ribosomal RNA, 269 nt
Filed under: uncultured bacterium
Lineage: Bacteria
Description: partial 16S ribosomal RNA
Rfam family: Bacterial small subunit ribosomal RNA
Source: RNAcentral